RNAcentral lists this ribosomal RNA (495 nucleotides) under uncultured bacterium. RNAcentral describes it as "partial 16S ribosomal RNA". It matches the Rfam family "Bacterial small subunit ribosomal RNA", at positions 28 to 507 of the family's 1533-position model. The record is from RNAcentral.
GACGAACGCUGGCGGCGUGCCUAAUACAUGCAAGUAGAACGCUGAAGGAGGAGCUUGCUUCUCUGGAUGAGUUGCGAACGGGUGAGUAACGCGUAGGUAACCUGCCUGGUAGCGGGGGAUAACUAUUGGAAACGAUAGCUAAUACCGCAUAAUAGUAGAUGUUGCAUGACAUUUGCUUAAAAGGUGCAAUUGCAUCACUAACAGAUGGCCCUGCGUUGUAUUAGCUAGUUGGUGGGGUAACGGCUCACCAAGGCGACGAUACAUAGCCGACCUGAGAGGGUGAUCGGCCACACUAGGACUGAGACACGGCCCAGACUCCUACAGGAGGCAGCAGUAGGGAAUCUUCGGCAAUGGACGGAAGUCUGACCAAGCAACGCCGCGGGAGUGAAGAAGGUUUUCGGAUCGUAAAGCUCUGUUGUAAGAGAAGAACGAGUGUGAGAGUGGAAAGUUCACACUGUGACGGUAGCUUACCAGAAAGGGACGGCUAACUACGUG